This 254-nucleotide ribosomal RNA is filed under the name uncultured bacterium. RNAcentral's name for it is "partial 16S ribosomal RNA". It matches the Rfam family "Bacterial small subunit ribosomal RNA", at positions 524 to 776 of the family's 1533-position model. The record is from RNAcentral.
UACGGGGGGGGCAAGCGUUGUUCGGAUUUACUGGGCGUAAAGGGCGCGUAGGCGGCCAGCACAGGUCAGUUGUGAAAUCUCCGAGCUUAACUCGGAAAGGUCAACUGAUACUGUGCGGCUAGAGUGCGGAAGGGGCAACUGGAAUUCUUGGUGUAGCGGUGAAAUGCGUAGAUAUCAAGAGGAACACCUGCGGCGAAGGCGGGUUGCUGGGCCGACACUGACGCUGAGGCGCGAAAGCCAGGGGAGCGAACGGG